GAUGAACGCUGGCGGCGUGCCUAAUACAUGCAAGUCGAGCGAACAGAUAAGGAGCUUGCUCCUUUGACGUUAGCGGCGGACGGGUGAGUAACACGUGGGUAACCUACCUAUAAGACUGGGAUAACUUCGGGAAACCGGAGCUAAUACCGGAUAAUAUUUCGAACCGCAUGGUUCGAUAGUGAAAGAUGGUUUUGCUAUCACUUAUAGAUGGACCCGCGCCGUAUUAGCUAGUUGGUAAGGUAACGGCUUACCAAGGCGACGAUACGUAGCCGACCUGAGAGGGUGAUCGGCCACACUGGAACUGAGACACGGUCCAGACUCCUACGGGAGGCAGCAGUAGGGAAUCUUCCGCAAUGGGCGAAAGCCUGACGGAGCACCGCCGCGUGAGUGAUGAAGGUCUUCGGAUCGUAAAACUCUGUUAUUAGGGAAGAACAUAAGUGUAAGUAACUGUGCACGUCUUGACGGUACCUAAUCAGAAAGCCACGGCUAACUACGUG
RNAcentral lists this ribosomal RNA (497 nucleotides) under uncultured bacterium. RNAcentral describes it as "partial 16S ribosomal RNA". It matches the Rfam family "Bacterial small subunit ribosomal RNA", at positions 28 to 507 of the family's 1533-position model. The record is from RNAcentral.